This is a microRNA precursor of Gorilla gorilla gorilla (western lowland gorilla), 81 nucleotides long. The record is from Ensembl. Lineage: Eukaryota; Metazoa; Chordata; Mammalia; Primates; Hominidae.
AGUUGGUGGGGGAGCCAUGAGAUAAGAGCACCUCCUAGAGAAUGUUGAACUAAAGGUGCCCUCUCUGGCUCCUCCCCAAAG